CUGGAAGGGAGGCAAAGCUGACCCCAGUUAAGGUCUAUUUAUGAAGUUGUAAGAUUCUGGAGAGCAUACAGGGACAUCUACUCAUCUUACUGCCAAGAGAAGCCCGGGUUACAUGGGAUGGCUGAUAUAACCUACUCUAUCCUACGUGGCAGCAGAAGGCAUCUCCUGGGAUACUAAAGUUUGGAGUCCCUUUUGACUUAAGGUAGGAGGAGAGUCUAUUUCCAGCUAUGGAAUCAAGGUCAGAAGCAGAAGUUCCAGUCCUUGCUAGGUG
Molecule: long non-coding RNA, 271 nt
Organism: Prionailurus viverrinus (fishing cat)
Lineage: Eukaryota; Metazoa; Chordata; Mammalia; Carnivora; Felidae
Exons: 3
Source: RefSeq, a predicted model, not a curated record